Molecule: transfer RNA, 86 nt
Filed under: Riverina rivularis
Lineage: Eukaryota; Rhodophyta; Florideophyceae; Hildenbrandiales; Hildenbrandiaceae
Description: Hildenbrandia rivularis tRNA-Ser
Rfam family: tRNA
About the family: Transfer RNA (tRNA) molecules are approximately 80 nucleotides in length.
Source: RNAcentral
GGGGAGGUGGCAGAGUUGGUUGAUUGCUUCUGAUUUGAAAUUAGAUGGACUAAUUAGUUCCGUGGGUUCGAAUCCUACCCUCUCCG